AUAGGGGCACCCUUCUAUGAGA
This 22-nucleotide unclassified non-coding RNA is filed under the name Mus musculus (house mouse). RNAcentral describes it as "oocyte_clustered_small_RNA11522". Lineage: Eukaryota; Metazoa; Chordata; Mammalia; Rodentia; Muridae. The record is from RNAcentral.